Molecule: ribosomal RNA, 253 nt
Filed under: uncultured bacterium
Lineage: Bacteria
Description: partial 16S ribosomal RNA
Rfam family: Bacterial small subunit ribosomal RNA
Source: RNAcentral
UACGUAGGGUGCGAGCGUUAUUCGGAAUUACUGGGCGUAAAGCGUGCGCAGGCGGUUUUGUAAGUCAGAUGUGAAAUCCCCGGGCUUAACCUGGGAAUGGCAUUUGGGACUGCAAGGCUUGAGUGCGGCAGAGGAGACUGGAAUUCCUGGUGUAGCAGUGAAAUGCGUAGAUAUCAGGAGGAAUACCGAUGGCGAAGGCAGCCCCCUGGGUCAAGACUGACGCUCAUGCACGAAAGCGUGGGGAGCAAACAGG